UUUGAGAAAAGGAAGAAGAGGCCUGACUGAUAGCCCUGGAGGAGCAGAGGAUGGAGGGGAAGAAGCCCAGAGUGAUGGCAGGCACUGUGAAGCUGGAGGACAGGCAGUGGCUGGCCCAAGAGGAGGAGAAUUAAGCCAAGUGCCUGGCCAUCAGGAUGAUGAAGCAGGAGAAGUACCUUUAUAACAAGAUCAUAUUUGGCAAGAGGCACAAAAUCCAAGAGGACACCAAAUUGGCAGAGAAGCAUAAAGCCCACAACGAGGCUGUGAGGUCUCAGAGGAAGGCCAGGGAGGCCAGGUCCAUGUGAGUGGCAGCAGCCUCUUGAUGGGCAAGGCCCGCCCCUGGCAGCUGGACUUGGCACAGGCAAGCCAGAAGACCCAGACUUGGUGGCAGACCAGAGUCUCUUCCCUUUUCAUCCCCUUGCUCCCGCUGCCGGCCCUGGCUUCCUCUCAAGCUCUCUGG
Lynx canadensis (Canada lynx) is the source of this 460-nucleotide long non-coding RNA. RefSeq lists it as uncharacterized. The transcript is spliced from 3 exons. NCBI's taxonomy places the organism in Eukaryota, Metazoa, Chordata, Mammalia, Carnivora, Felidae. The record is from RefSeq and is a predicted model, not a curated record.